GACGAACGCUGGCGGCGUGCUUAACACAUGCAAGUCGAACGAUGAAGCCUAGCUUGCUAGGUGGAUUAGUGGCGAACGGGUGAGUAAUACGUGAGUAACCUACCUUUAACUCUGGGAUAAGCCUGGGAAACUGGGUCUAAUACCGGAUACGACCAAUCUCCGCAUGGGGUGUUGGUGGAAAGCGUUAUGUAGUGGUUAUAGAUGGGCUCACGGCCUAUCAGCUUGUUGGUGAGGUAACGGCUCACCAAGGCGACGACGGGUAGCCGGCCUGAGAGGGUGACCGGCCACACUGGGACUGAGACACGGCCCAGACUCCUACGGGAGGCAGCAGAGGGGAAUAUUGCACAAUGGGCGCAAGCCUGAUGCAGCGACGCCGCGUGAGGGAUGACGGCCUUCGGGUUGUAAACCUCUGUUAGCAGGGAAGAAGAGAGAUUGACGGUACCUGCAGAGAAAGCGCCGGCUAACUACGUG
This 471-nucleotide ribosomal RNA is filed under the name uncultured bacterium. RNAcentral describes it as "partial 16S ribosomal RNA". It matches the Rfam family "Bacterial small subunit ribosomal RNA", at positions 28 to 507 of the family's 1533-position model. The record is from RNAcentral.